Molecule: non-coding RNA, 778 nt
Filed under: Euphyllodromia sp. Z257
Lineage: Eukaryota; Metazoa; Arthropoda; Insecta; Blattodea; Pseudophyllodromiidae
Source: RNAcentral
GAAAAAGUUUGUUCUAGUAAGGAAAAUUAUUAUUAAAUUGUUUUACAUGUAAAUUUUUGUUUUUGUUUAUAUUUUCUAAAUGUUAAGUAUUUACAGUGAUUUAUUUUAUUUUAUUAAGUAUUUUUAGAUUCAGCAAUUUUUAUUAAGUAUUGAAUAAACAUGUGCCAGCAUUCGCGGUUAUACAUUAAAUAUAAAUAUUUUUUUUUGUUAAGUAGUUACUUACUUUUUUUUGAUUAUUAGAUAAUUAUUUUUAGGUGAAAUUUUAAUUUUUAUUUUAUUUUAAAUUUUAAGGAUUCUAUAAAGCCUAUAUUUUAGACUAGGAUUAGAUACCCUAUUAUUUUAGGUGUAAAUAUUUUGGCUUGAGUAGUAUUUGUUAAGGUCUUGAAACUUAAAGAAUUUGGCGGUAUUUUAGUCUUUUUAGAGGAAUCUGUUCCAUUAUUGAUAAUCCACAUUGGACCUUACUUAUAUUUAAUAUUUGUAUAUCGCCGUUUAAUUGAAUAUCUUUUUAGAGUAAGAAAUUUUCUUUAUAUUUUAUAAUAUAUUAUUUCAGGUCAAGGUGCAGUUUAUAUAUAAGGGGAAAUGGAUUACAAUAUAUACAUAUAUAUAUAUGAAUUAAUAAUUGGAUAAUUAUUAUGAAGGUGGAUUUAAUAGUAAAUUUUUAAAUAUUAUAGUUUUGGAAAAAGCUCUAUAAUAUGUACACAUCGCCCGUCACUCUCGUUAAUUAAGAUGAGAUAAGUCGUAACAAAGUAGUUGUACUGGAAAGUGUAGCUAGAAUGAU